This 253-nucleotide ribosomal RNA is filed under the name uncultured bacterium. RNAcentral describes it as "partial 16S ribosomal RNA". It matches the Rfam family "Bacterial small subunit ribosomal RNA", at positions 524 to 776 of the family's 1533-position model. The record is from RNAcentral.
UACGUAGGAGGCGAGCGUUGUCCGGAGUUACUGGGCGUAAAGGGUGCGCAGGCGGCGUUCCGCGUGGCGAGAUGAAAUCUCCCUGGCUUACCUGGGAGGUGGUCGCCAGACGGGAGCGCUUGAGGGUCGGAGAGGGCGUGGAAUUCCGGGUGGAAGCGGUGAAUGCGUAGAGAUCCGGAGGAACACCGACGGCGUAGGCAGCGCCCUGGACGACACCUGACGCUGAGGCACGAAAGCUGGGGGAGCGAACAGG